RNAcentral lists this long non-coding RNA (234 nucleotides) under Lathyrus oleraceus (garden pea). Its description in RNAcentral is "Pisum sativum (pea) long non-coding RNA (PSAT_LNC007177)". The record is from RNAcentral. Lineage: Eukaryota; Viridiplantae; Streptophyta; Magnoliopsida; Fabales; Fabaceae.
CGCGCACUCCUGAGACUAGGAUUCGAGAUGUAUAUCUCGCCAAUCCUAGCUCUCGCCAUCAUCCAAGUUUAUCCACUUUGGUUUUCUCUCAAACACUCAUUCAAAUCUUUCUCAAACGUCCAUCAAUACUUGAUCUAGUGUCAAGUCAUUUUUCACAACAAAAACUCAAAAUACCUAAUUCUUAUUUAACACUCUUUCAAUAAAGGUGGAAAUGGAACAUGGUGUAUACCAUGC